Molecule: long non-coding RNA, 901 nt
Organism: Scylla paramamosain (green mud crab)
Lineage: Eukaryota; Metazoa; Arthropoda; Malacostraca; Decapoda; Portunidae
Exons: 4
Source: RefSeq, a predicted model, not a curated record
GAAAUAAACAAGCGAGUGACGAGGUGUUGCGUGCGUCGGGUUGGCAGUCCCGUUGGCAAGGCAGACACGCCACUCGACCCGGCGCAGGGAGCGUGUGUUGCAGGUGAUGGCCGCUGUGCUUUCUUGACAGUGCUUUUCUCGAGAGCCCUAACAAGUUGUGAGUCCCCUGAGGUAACCUGAAGGAGCCUCGGGGAUCAUUGAGUCGUGUGGACGUGUGGCAUUGCUCGUGGUGGUGGGCGUGACGUGUGGGGAGCAAGGAAAGUUAUCUGCCCGCAGCCGCCUCCCUGACUGGUGGAUGCUGAGGAGGCGGGUGUCACGUAUACAGCUCGUGGGCAAGUAUCAGGUGAACGCAGAGUAAAGUGGCGCUCACAACCCCAGCAGUAAAGUAGCAGCGGCCGGCGACAUUAAAGUAAAAGUAGCAAGAGGGAACAGCAGGAGCUAAUGGUGACGAGAGGGAACACUGGCACGCGACGGGAAUACAUAUCAAGGAGCUGGAGGAAGAGGAGGAACAGGAGCAGGAGCAGGAGCAGGAGGACUUGGUGGUGAAGGUGUGUUCUCAUUAGUGGUAUUGAGAAGAAAGUUCCAAGGGGUCAGUCAGCCGAGGAGGAAUGUCGUCCUCGUGCCUGCGUGUGCAUGUCGAGUGUCUGGAGUGUCAGGCGUGCGUGGGGCGGCCUGGACCUCCCCACCUGGGACACACUGGUGCUCAGGGGCGUGGCAGGCUGAGGGAAUUUACCAGGAAGAACUUAACGAGUGUGAAAAGGGACCUUACUCGUUGCCUGGCGGGGAAGAGACAGACUGACAGGCGCUGGGGCGGACAAGGGCAGAGGAAGACAAGGGCAGGGCUAGACGGUGCGCAGCGGGACGGGUUGUUUAGAAGAGGAAGGAAAUCUGAUUAUGUUGU